CAGUCGCCGCGGUAAUACGAAGGGGGCUAGCGUUGCUCGGAAUUACUGGGCGUAAAGGGCGCGUAGGCGGCGCUCCAAGUUAGGCGUGAAAUUCCCGGGCUCAACCUGGGGACUGCGCUUAAGACUGGAGUGCUUGAGGAUGGAAGAGGGUUGUGGAAUUCCCAGUGUAGAGGUGAAAUUCGUAGAUAUUGGGAAGAACACCGGUGGCGAAGGCGGCAACCUGGUCCAUUACUGACGCUGAGGCGCGAUAGCGUGGGGAGCAAACAGGAUUAGAUACCCGAGUAGUCCCUGUCUCUUAUAU
Molecule: ribosomal RNA, 301 nt
Filed under: uncultured bacterium
Lineage: Bacteria
Description: partial 16S ribosomal RNA
Rfam family: Bacterial small subunit ribosomal RNA
Source: RNAcentral